AUCCGUCUGACGAGUUCCAAAUAGGAUGAAACGCUCGUCCUGGAU
This is a non-coding RNA of Schistosoma mattheei, 45 nucleotides long. NCBI's taxonomy places the organism in Eukaryota, Metazoa, Platyhelminthes, Trematoda, Strigeidida, Schistosomatidae. The record is from Rfam.